This 427-nucleotide ribosomal RNA is filed under the name uncultured bacterium. RNAcentral's name for it is "partial 16S ribosomal RNA". It matches the Rfam family "Bacterial small subunit ribosomal RNA", at positions 355 to 774 of the family's 1533-position model. The record is from RNAcentral.
UGGGGAAUAUUGCACAAUGGACGCAAGCCUGAUGCAGCCAUGCCGCGUGUGUGAAGAAGGCCUUCGGGUUGUAAAGCACUUUCAGCGAGGAGGAAGGGUAGUGUGUUAAUAGCACAUUGCAUUGACGUUACUCGCAGAAGAAGCACCGGCUAACUCCGUGCCAGCAGCCGCGGUAAUACGGAGGGUGCAAGCGUUAAUCGGAAUUACUGGGCGUAAAGCGCACGCAGGCGGUUUGUUAAGUCAGAUGUGAAAUCCCCGCGCUUAACGUGGGAACUGCAUUUGAAACUGGCAAGCUAGAGUCUUGUAGAGGGGGGUAGAAUUCCAGGUGUAGCGGUGAAAUGCGUAGAGAUCUGGAGGAAUACCGGUGGCGAAGGCGGCCCCCUGGACAAAGACUGACGCUCAGGUGCGAAAGCGUGGGGAGCAAACA